CGCAAGCCUGACGGAGCAAGACCGCGUGCGGGAUGACGGCCUAAUGGUUGUAAACCGCUUUUCUCUGGGAAGAUGAUGACGGUACCUGAGGAAUCAGCCUCGGCUAACUCCGUGCCAGCAGCCGCGGUAAUACGGAGGAGGCAAGCGUUAUCCGGAAUUAUUGGGCGUAAAGCGUCCGUAGGUGGUUAUUCAAGUCUGCUGUUAAAGGUCGGAGCUAAACUCCGGUAGAGCAGUGGAAACUGGUGCGCUAGAGGGCGACAGGGGUAGAGGGAAUUCCCAGUGUAGCGGUGAAAUGCGUAGAGAUUGGGAAGAACACCGGUGGCGAAAGCGCUCUACUGGGUCGCACCUGACCCUCAGGGACGAAAGCUAAGGUAGCG
This 377-nucleotide ribosomal RNA is filed under the name uncultured cyanobacterium. Its description in RNAcentral is "bacterial SSU rRNA". It matches the Rfam family "Bacterial small subunit ribosomal RNA", at positions 376 to 770 of the family's 1533-position model. The record is from RNAcentral. Lineage: Bacteria; Bacillati; Cyanobacteriota.